RNAcentral lists this transfer RNA (82 nucleotides) under Planctomycetales bacterium 4484_123. RNAcentral describes it as "tRNA-Leu". It matches the Rfam family "tRNA". From Rfam's summary of the family: Transfer RNA (tRNA) molecules are approximately 80 nucleotides in length. Their secondary structure includes four short double-helical elements and three loops (D, anti-codon, and T loops). RNAcentral also lists the same sequence under 1 other name. Lineage: Bacteria; Pseudomonadati; Planctomycetota; Planctomycetia; Planctomycetales. The record is from RNAcentral.
GCGAGGGUGGCGGAAUUGGCAGACGCGCCAGGUUUAGGUCCUGGUCCCGAAAGGGAUGCGGGUUCGAAUCCCGCCCCUCGCA